CGAACCUGCCUUUCAGGCAUCCUCUCCCAAACUUCCAAGGCCCGGCCGGCAACGACCGGGCCUUUUUUUGCGCAAGU
RNAcentral lists this small RNA (77 nucleotides) under Novosphingobium marinum. Its description in RNAcentral is "Makes More Granules Regulator RNA (mmgR)". It matches the Rfam family "Makes More Granules Regulator RNA (mmgR)". From Rfam's summary of the family: SuhB later renamed mmgR (makes more granules regulator) was a putative non-coding RNA found multiple times in the Agrobacterium tumefaciens genome and related alpha-proteobacteria. Other non-coding RNAs uncovered in the same analysis include: speF, ybhL, metA, and serC. Several studies inSinorhizobium meliloti showed that suhB element is indeed a non-coding RNA:firstly it was detected on Northern blot and called Sm8RNA, secondly in an RNAseq study referred to as SmelC689. The record is from Rfam by way of RNAcentral. Lineage: Bacteria; Pseudomonadati; Pseudomonadota; Alphaproteobacteria; Sphingomonadales; Sphingomonadaceae.